RNAcentral lists this transfer RNA (73 nucleotides) under Meleagris gallopavo (turkey). RNAcentral's name for it is "tRNA-Val (CAC) (tRNA-Val-CAC-6-1)". It matches the Rfam family "tRNA". From Rfam's summary of the family: Transfer RNA (tRNA) molecules are approximately 80 nucleotides in length. Their secondary structure includes four short double-helical elements and three loops (D, anti-codon, and T loops). The record is from RNAcentral. Lineage: Eukaryota; Metazoa; Chordata; Aves; Galliformes; Phasianidae.
GGGAUUCUAGCUCAGUUGGUAGAGCGUUGCUUUCACACAGCAGAGGUCACAGGUUCAAGCCCUGUGAAUCCCA